This 1434-nucleotide ribosomal RNA is filed under the name uncultured organism. Its description in RNAcentral is "16S ribosomal RNA". It matches the Rfam family "Bacterial small subunit ribosomal RNA". The record is from RNAcentral.
CAGGCUUAACACAUGCAAGUCGAGGGGCAGCAUGGUCUUAGCUUGCUAAGGCCGAUGGCGACCGGCGCACGGGUGAGUAACACGUAUCCAACCUGCCGUCUACUCUUGGACAGCCUUCUGAAAGGAAGAUUAAUACAAGAUGGCAUCAUGAGUCCGCAUGUUCACAUGAUUAAAGGUAUUCCGGUAGACGAUGGGGAUGCGUUCCAUUAGAUAGUAGGCGGGGUAACGGCCCACCUAGUCUUCGAUGGAUAGGGGUUCUGAGAGGAAGGUCCCCCACAUUGGAACUGAGACACGGUCCAAACUCCUACGGGAGGCAGCAGUGAGGAAUAUUGGUCAAUGGGCGAGAGCCUGAACCAGCCAAGUAGCGUGAAGGAUGACUGCCCUAUGGGUUGUAAACUUCUUUUAUAAAGGAAUAAAGUCGGGUAUGGAUACCCGUUUGCAUGUACUUUAUGAAUAAGGAUCGGCUAACUCCGUGCCAGCAGCCGCGGUAAUACGGAGGAUCCGAGCGUUAUCCGGAUUUAUUGGGUUUAAAGGGAGCGUAGAUGGAUGUUUAAGUCAGUUGUGAAAGUUUGCGGCUCAACCGUAAAAUUGCAGUUGAUACUGGAUAUCUUGAGUGCAGUUGAGGCAGGCGGAAUUCGUGGUGUAGCGGUGAAAUGCUUACAUAUCACGAAGAACUCCGAUUGCGAAGGCAGCCUGCUAAGCUGCAACUGACCUUGAGGGCUCGAAAGUGUGGGUAUCAAACAGGAUUAGAUACCCUGGUAGUCCACACGGUAAACGAUGAAUACUCGCUGUUUGCGAUAUACAGCAAGCGGCCAAGCGAAAGCGUUAAGUAUUCCACCUGGGGAGUACGCCGGCAACGGUGAAACUCAAAGGAAUUGACGGGGGCCCGCACAAGCGGAGGAACAUGUGGUUUAAUUCGAUGAUACGCGAGGAACCUUACCCGGGCUUAAAUUGCAGAUGAAUUACGGUGAAAGCCGUAAGCCGCAAGGCAUCUGUGAAGGUGCUGCAUGGUUGUCGUCAGCUCGUGCCGUGAGGUGUCGGCUUAAGUGCCAUAACGAGCGCAACCCUUGUUGUCAGUUACUAACAGGUUCCGCUGAGGACUCUGACAAGACUGCCAUCGUAAGAUGUGAGGAAGGUGGGGAUGACGUCAAAUCAGCACGGCCCUUACGUCCGGGGCUACACACGUGUUACAAUGGGGGGUACAGAGGGCCGCUACCACGCGAGUGGAUGCCAAUCCCCAAAACCUCUCUCAGUUCGGACUGGAGUCUGCAACCCGACUCCACGAAGCUGGAUUCGCUAGUAAUCGCGCAUCAGCCACGGCGCGGUGAAUACGUUCCCGGGCCUUGUACACACCGCCCGUCAAGCCAUGGGAGCCGGGGGUACCUGAAGUGCGUAACCGCGAGGAGCGCCCUAGGGUAAAACUGGUGACUGGGG